Molecule: ribosomal RNA, 489 nt
Filed under: uncultured Gammaproteobacteria bacterium
Lineage: Bacteria; Pseudomonadati; Pseudomonadota; Gammaproteobacteria
Description: bacterial SSU rRNA
Rfam family: Bacterial small subunit ribosomal RNA
Source: RNAcentral
AGUGAACGCUGGCGGUAGGCCUAACACAUGCAAGUCGAGCGGCASACAGGAGAGCUUGCUCUCUGGGUGGCGAGUGGCGGGCGGGUGAGGAAUACAUCGGAAUCUACCUUUUCGUGGGGGAUAACGUAGGGAAACUUACGCUAAUACCGCAUAAGACCUUCGGGUGAAAGCCGGGGACCUUCGGGCCUGGCGCGGAUAGAUGAGCCGAUGUCGGAUUAGCUUGUUGGCGGGGUAAAAGCCCACCAAGGCGACGAUCCGUAGCUGGUCUGAGAGGAUGAUCAGCCACACUGGAACUGAGACACGGUCCAGACUCCUACGGGAGGCAGCAGUAGGGAAUAUUGGACAAUGGGCGCAACUGGAUCCAGCCAUACCGCGUGGGUGAAGAAGGCCUUCGGGUUGUAAAGCCCUUUUGUUGGGAAAGAAAUCCUGCCGAUUAAUACUCAAUAGGGAUGACGGUACCCAAAGAAUAAGCACCGACUAACUUCGUGC